GAUGAAGAACGCAGCGAAAUGCGAUAAGUAGUGUGAAUUGCAGAAUUCAGUGAAUCAUCGAAUCUUUGAACGUACAUUGCGCCCCUUGGUAUCCCGAGGGGCAUGCCUGUUCGAGCGUCAUUUCACCACUCAAGCCUGGCUUGGUGUUGGGCGACGUCCUCUUUGGGGACGCGCCUCGAAACGCUCGGCGGCGUGGCACCGGCUUUAAGCGUAGCAGAAUCUUUCGCUUUGGAAGUCGGGGCCCCGUCUGCCGGAAGACCUGCUCGCAAGGUUGACCUCGGAUCAGGCAGGGAUACCCGCUGAACUUAAGCAUAUCAAUAAGCGGAGGA
RNAcentral lists this unclassified non-coding RNA (329 nucleotides) under soil metagenome. RNAcentral describes it as "partial contains 5.8S ribosomal RNA, internal transcribed spacer 2, and large subunit ribosomal RNA". The stretch from base 1 to 120 matches the Rfam family "5.8S ribosomal RNA", at positions 35 to 154 of the family's 154-position model. The record is from RNAcentral.